UGCUUUGGUUGUAUGUGAAUUCUCCAGUGGGCUUAUAUGUUAAAGGAGCAGAGUGUUUCACCGCCCUGCAUGACUGACGUGGAUAGAAGCAGGUGGGGAAUGGCUCUUGAAGUUUAGGGAGGCAGUUAUAAGAGAGAGCUGCCCAGGUCAUGUUUCCUCAGUGUGUGACUAUUGAACGAUCGCAUCACAGACUCUCUUCUGCAGCUCAGACCUGGAAAGACCUCGGUGCUAUUUCACAAGAAGGUGAGGAGGAUGGAGAUGAAGAGUUUUCUAGCCCUGCUCUACGUAAUUUCAGCAUGUGGAGCUCAGAAAUGGAAACAAGAUACAUCAGGUGAAUACUGGCCAACAUAUGCUUGUUAAUGUAUGUGUUCAGCAGAACACACCAACGGCAAGACUUGCUCCAACCUGACUCAGGUACUGGACAACUGGAAAUUUGCUAUUCUAGCCCAGGUGAAGGACCUGCUGAUCAACGACCACGGGUCUGUUCUCCCUGAAUACAACAGGAUCCAGCCUCUUUCAAAUGCUCUGGGAGAUCUCUACCAGCAGUUUAAUUCGCUAAAAGACGAGCUGGGGAAGUUGACCUCAAAGUUUGAUGGAAUGGAAGGUUUUGUGGACGAUCUCAAGGAUGGCAGAUUCACCCCACCUCAGCGCCAAAUACAGAAGCUCCCACCAAGGUUUGGUCUGAGGUCUCCACUGCAAGCACAGAUAAGAGCUCCUGAAAGAAAGAUUAUCCCUGCACCUGCACUGAUCAGAGCGAGGAGGAGAGGUUCACAGAGACCUUAGACCUGUUGCAGAUUGCCUUCUGCCUGGAUGUUGAUGUGCAAACAAAGGCUGAUUUGUUUAAAUAAAGAAUAUUUUAUGGAAGACAAAUAUAUUAUUUUAUUGAUGAGAAUAAAUCGCAAAAAGUGUACUCCACUCAUCCAUGGUCUGGAAAUUUAAAAUUAAUUUGACUUGAGCUUCCUGUAAACAAUAGUAAUCAUGUUUAACUUUAUUAAUCCCUCAUGGUUAAAUUCUCUCUCUGCGUUUGACCCAUCCAUUCAUUCGCACGCUAGUAUAUACAUGUAGGUGCUUGCUUAAGGCAUCUCAGACAUUAACAUGGGUGGGCAGGGGAUGCAAACCUGUGACCCUUCAGGUCCCAGAGCUGCUUCUCUAACCAUUAGAGCUCCCUUAAGAGUCACAUUCAACCACAAGAUGGCAGGAUUAUCAAACUGCUGUUUUAUGUACAUCAACACAGUGGCUUAUAAAGUCACAUAAUGGUUAAAAAUUGAGUCUUGAACUGUAGAUCAGUAUACAGACACUUGGUAAACAUUAUUUAACAUUGUGUGUUUUGUAUGUUUCAUUUGUCUACCCAAGUAAUUAUUAUAAAAAAUUCAUGUACAAUUUAAAUGAAUUUGAUAUAUGGAAUGCACAGUAUGCUAUACGCCAUCCCUUCACAUGUAUACCAGUGAACAAGGGAUCGAACACCAAUCCUAUGAUCAAUGAGAAGCGCUAACUAUAACUGCAAGAGGAACACAUUGAGGAAUGAGUUUUAAACUACGUAAUGCAUGGCUAAGAGAUCGAUUCAGAUGUGUUUCGUUGUUACUUCCCAUCAACAGCAUUUCAUAUUAAAAUCAACAAAAUCGAAAGAAA
Molecule: RNA transcript, 1629 nt
Organism: Mugil cephalus (flathead mullet)
Lineage: Eukaryota; Metazoa; Chordata; Actinopteri; Mugiliformes; Mugilidae
Exons: 4
Source: RefSeq, a predicted model, not a curated record